AUUGAACGCUGGCGGCAUGAUUUACACAUGCAAGUCGAACGGUAACAGGCCGCAAGGUGCUGACGAGUGGCGAACGGGUGAGUAAUGCAUCGGAACGUGCCCAGUCGUGGGGGAUAACUACUCGAAAGAGUAGCUAAUACCGCAUACGAUCUAUGGAUGAAGGCGGGGGACCGUAAGGCCUCGUGCGAUUGGAGCGGCCGAUGUCAGAUUAGGUAGUUGGUGGGGUAAAGGCUCACCAAGCCAACGAUCUGUAGCUGGUCUGAGAGGACGACCAGCCUCACUGGGACUGAGACACGGCCCAGACUCCUACGGGAGGCAGCAGUGGGGAAUUUUGGACAAUGGGCGCAAGCCUGAUCCAGCAAUGCCGCGUGCAGGAAGAAGGCCUUCGGGUUGUAAACUGCUUUUGUACGGAACGAAACGGCUCUGGUUAAUACCCGGGGCUAAUGACGGUACCGUAAGAAUAAGCACCGGCUAACUACGUG
RNAcentral lists this ribosomal RNA (482 nucleotides) under uncultured bacterium. RNAcentral's name for it is "partial 16S ribosomal RNA". It matches the Rfam family "Bacterial small subunit ribosomal RNA", at positions 30 to 507 of the family's 1533-position model. The record is from RNAcentral.